UGGUUCUGGCAUCGAUGAAGAACGCAGCGAAAUGCGAUAAGUAAUGCGAAUUGCAGAAUUCCGUGAGUCAUCGAAUCUUUGAACGCACAUUGCGCCCUUUGGCAUUCCGAAGGGCAUGCCUGUUCGAGCGUCAUUAUCACCCCUCAAGCUUGGCUUGUUGUUAGGGCUCGGUCGUCACAGACCGGCCCCCAAAGACAAUGACGGCGCCCACGAGACCCCCGGUACAAUGAGCUUUUCACGAGGCACGUACUGCGGCGGGCUUGCGGACCCGGUCCAACCACUAUUUUCUAAGGUUGACCUCGGAUCAGGUAGGGAUACCCGCUGA
RNAcentral lists this unclassified non-coding RNA (325 nucleotides) under uncultured fungus. RNAcentral describes it as "partial contains 5.8S ribosomal RNA and internal transcribed spacer 2". The stretch from base 1 to 133 matches the Rfam family "5.8S ribosomal RNA", at positions 22 to 154 of the family's 154-position model. The record is from RNAcentral. Lineage: Eukaryota; Fungi.